RNAcentral lists this ribosomal RNA (253 nucleotides) under uncultured bacterium. RNAcentral's name for it is "partial 16S ribosomal RNA". It matches the Rfam family "Bacterial small subunit ribosomal RNA", at positions 524 to 776 of the family's 1533-position model. The record is from RNAcentral.
UACGGAAGGGGCAAGCGUUGUUCGGAAUCAUUGGGCGUAAAGGGCGCGUAGGUGGUCGUGUAUGUCUCCCGUGAAAGCCCACGGCUCAACCGUGGUGUGUCGGGAGAAACUGCAGGACUUGAGGCUGGGAGGGGCUGGUGGAAUUCCCUGUGUAGCGGUGAAAUGCGUAGAUAUCUGGAGGAACACCGGUGGCGAAGGCGGCAUCCUGGACCAACACUGACACUGAUGAGCGAAAGCCAGGGGAGCAAACGGG